Molecule: long non-coding RNA, 573 nt
Filed under: Chrysolophus pictus (golden pheasant)
Lineage: Eukaryota; Metazoa; Chordata; Aves; Galliformes; Phasianidae
Description: lncRNA (ENSCPIG00010012735.1)
Source: RNAcentral
CCCUAACAAUCCAUUGGCAUCUUUGUUUCCUCAGUGAUGUCCCCUUCUGGAACCUUGCCACACUGUGUCUCUGGACCAACUGACUAUCACCACCCUCAAGAAAAAUGGAAGCAGUAAUACGGCUCAUGCUAAGGAAGAAAAGGUUCAGAACAAAAGUAUGCAGAACAAAAGAACACGGUGGAAACACAAGGGUCACCCAGGACACUCCUCUGGUUUGUCUCUGACAUCGCAACCUGGAGACAAGUCAUUUCUCUAACGAGGCCAUGCAAACAUCAUGUGUUCCUCCGUGGAAAGAAGUGGGGAAGGCCAGGAGCAACAGGACACAGAGCAAACUUAAGUUACAAAGUCCUAACCAGAAGCAAGCAGAGAUGCUGGAGAUGUCCUGGAGAAAGAUAGAGCAUCAAGUUUGGAAAAGACCUCCAAGUGGGGAACCCAGUAGCACCAAAUCUGGGAGUCUGAUGAACGUUUCCCCCUGGGAUUGCUGUUGAACAAACACAAUUACCAACAGCUGAAGGAUAACUGCUCUGACUGUCAAGCUUCUCACUUCGGGUGAGGAAGGCAGAACAUAACCAC